CUCCGUUCGAUGCAAUUUUUAUACCACUGUGAUCACCGUUCUUUUCUCUACAGGUUGAUCGGAGCCAAACAUCAAAACGCAACUCACGCCGGAGGAGUCGCCGCACCCGAGAGCACCGCCGCCGGUAAGUUUCAGUUUUUCGUGAUUUUUUAGCCCACCGAGAGCCCUAGGGUUGUUUUAUCGCAGGAACCGAUGCAAGUGUGACCGAAUUCGGCUGGAAAUGGCCGAAAACGGCCAACCCGAGGCGAAUCGUCGCCGCAAGCGGCGGAGCCGUCGCCUGAGCACGGCGAAGCCGCCAUGCCGGAAUUGCAAUAUUGGCCGAAAAGGGCCCUAAGUCUGAUUUGAGAUUUUUUAGGAUACGUGUAGGUACCGAUAAUGCGUUUUAGCUUUUUAGAAAAAAU
This 401-nucleotide long non-coding RNA is filed under the name Carica papaya (papaya). RNAcentral describes it as "long non-coding RNA (CPAP_LNC014538)". The record is from RNAcentral. Lineage: Eukaryota; Viridiplantae; Streptophyta; Magnoliopsida; Brassicales; Caricaceae.